RNAcentral lists this ribosomal RNA (468 nucleotides) under uncultured bacterium. Its description in RNAcentral is "partial 16S ribosomal RNA". It matches the Rfam family "Bacterial small subunit ribosomal RNA", at positions 28 to 507 of the family's 1533-position model. The record is from RNAcentral.
GACGAACGCUGGCGGCGUGCUUAACACAUGCAAGUCGAACGGAAAGGCCCUGCUUUUGUGGGGUGCUCGAGUGGCGAACGGGUGAGUAACACGUGAGUAACCUGCCCUUGACUUUGGGAUAACUUCAGGAAACUGGGGCUAAUACCGGAUAGGAGCUCCUGCUGCAUGGUGGGGGUUGGAAAGUUUCGGCGGGUGGGGAUGGACUCGCGGCUUAUCAGCUUGUUGGUGGGGUAGUGGCUUACCAAGGCUUUGACGGGUAGCCGGCCUGAGGGGGUGAACGGCCACAUUGGGCCUAAGAUGCGGCCCAGACUCCUACGGGAGGCAGCAGUGGGGAAUAUUGCACAAUGGGCGGAAGCCUGAUGCAGCAACGCCGCGUGCGGGAUGACGGCCUUCGGGUUGUAAACCGCUUUCGCCUGUGACGAAGCGUGAGUGACGGUAAUGGGUAAAGAAGCACCGGCUAACUACGUG